Non-coding RNA from Ictidomys tridecemlineatus (thirteen-lined ground squirrel), 72 nucleotides. NCBI's taxonomy places the organism in Eukaryota, Metazoa, Chordata, Mammalia, Rodentia, Sciuridae. The record is from Rfam.
UGGGGUACAGCUCAGUGGUAGAAUGCUUGUCUAGCAUAUUCAAGGACCUGGGUUCCAUCCCCAGUACCUCAA